CCAGACUCCUACGGGAGGCAGCAGUGAGGAAUAUUGGUCAAUGGGCGGGAGCCUGAACCAGCCAUGCCGCGUGAAGGCGAGUGCCCUACGGGCGUUAAACUUCUUUUGUGCGGGAGCAAUAAGGGCCACGCGUGGCCCGAUGAGAGUACCGCACGAAUAAGCAUCGGCUAACUCCGUGCCAGCAGCCGCGGUAAUACGGGGGAUGCGAGCGUUAUCCGGAUUUAUUGGGUUUAAAGGGUGCGUAGGCGGGCUUUUAAGUCAGCGGUAAAAAUUCGGGGCUCAACCCCGUCCGGCCGUUGAAACUGGGGGCCUUGAGUGGGCGAGAAGAAGGCGGAAUGCGUGGUGUAGCGGUGAAAUGCAUAGAUAUCACGCAGAACCCCGAUUGCGAAGGCAGCCUUCCGGCGCCCUACUGACGCUGAGGCACGAAAGUGCGGGGAUCGAACAGGAUUAGAUACCCCAGUA
Molecule: ribosomal RNA, 462 nt
Filed under: uncultured bacterium
Lineage: Bacteria
Description: bacterial SSU rRNA
Rfam family: Bacterial small subunit ribosomal RNA
Source: RNAcentral